Molecule: ribosomal RNA, 465 nt
Filed under: Vreelandella stevensii
Lineage: Bacteria; Pseudomonadati; Pseudomonadota; Gammaproteobacteria; Oceanospirillales; Halomonadaceae
Description: partial 16S ribosomal RNA
Rfam family: Bacterial small subunit ribosomal RNA
Source: RNAcentral
CCUACGGGCGGCAGCAGUGGGGAAUAUUGGACAAUGGGGGGAACCCUGAUCCAGCCAUGCCGCGUGUGUGAAGAAGGCCCUCGGGUUGUAAAGCACUUUCAGUGAGGAAGAACGCCUGGUGGUUAAUACCCAUCAGGAAAGACAUCACUCACAGAAGAAGCACCGGCUAACUCCGUGCCAGCAGCCGCGGUAAUACGGAGGGUGCGAGCGUUAAUCGGAAUUACUGGGCGUAAAGCGCGCGUAGGUGGCUUGAUAAGCCGGUUGUGAAAGCCCCGGGCUCAACCUGGGAACGGCAUCCGGAACAGUCAAGCUAGAGUGCAGGAGAGGAAGGUAGAAUUCCCGGUGUAGCGGUGAAAUGCGUAGAGAUCGGGAGGAAUACCAGUGGCGAAGGCGGCCUUCUGGACUGACACUGACACUGAGGUGCGAAAGCGUGGGUAGCAAACAGGAUUAGAUACCCUGGUAGUC